RNAcentral lists this ribosomal RNA (220 nucleotides) under uncultured bacterium. RNAcentral describes it as "partial 16S ribosomal RNA". It matches the Rfam family "Bacterial small subunit ribosomal RNA", at positions 57 to 305 of the family's 1533-position model. The record is from RNAcentral.
GCAAGUCGAGCGCUACCUUCGGGUGGAGCGGCGGACGGGUUAGUAACGCGUGGGAAUAUGCCCUUCUCUAAGGAAUAGCCACUGGAAACGGUGAGUAAUACCUUAUACGCCCUUCGGGGGAAAGAUUUAUCGGAGAAGGAUCGGCCCGCGUUAGAUUAGAUAGUUGGUGGGGUAACGGCCUACCAAGUCUACGAUCUAUAGCUGGUUUGAGAGGAUGAUC